GGUGGAGAAUUUGGGGUGAGGAACUUGUGAAAGUCUUCAGUCAAAUUCUUCAAACGGUAAAGAUCAAAGUCGUCAACAUACAGUUGAGGAAAUGAAAGGGUUGAGGAAUUAGAACCAGGUGCUCGAUGAAGACAAUGGUUUGAUGACCCAGUUCCAACUGUUGUGACAGUCGUACGUCUAGUUUGGAGAGACUUGGUAUUUAAACCAAAGGACACACGGUCCGAGGACACUAAGUCCUCACUGUAUUCUCCUUGAGCUAAGGAUACACAGUCCUCGCCCAACACUCGUGGUAAGUGAAAGGACGUGGAUGUCGCCUAGAGGGGGGUGAAUAGGCGCUUCAAAAUAUUUACGAUUUAGGCUUGAAC
RNAcentral lists this long non-coding RNA (365 nucleotides) under Hordeum vulgare. Its description in RNAcentral is "long non-coding RNA (HVUL_LNC007139)". The record is from RNAcentral. Lineage: Eukaryota; Viridiplantae; Streptophyta; Magnoliopsida; Poales; Poaceae.